This is a long non-coding RNA of Calidris pugnax (ruff), 3175 nucleotides long. RefSeq lists it as uncharacterized. The transcript is spliced from 3 exons. The record is from RefSeq and is a predicted model, not a curated record. NCBI's taxonomy places the organism in Eukaryota, Metazoa, Chordata, Aves, Charadriiformes, Scolopacidae.
CCGCAGCACCGCUCUGACAGGGACAGGGGUGGCCGCCUCCCGCCCGAGCCGCUUCUCCUCCCACCGGUGCCGGGGGCGUUGAGGAGCCCGGCUCCCCGCUGGCAGAGGCCUUGAGGCCUGCCCCCUGAGGUGCACACCCUGCCUUUGUUCAGCGGGCGGGAGGGGAUGUACCCCCUUGCACCGAUGGCGGCCGAGGGACCGCAACGCUAGGUCGCAGCUGGAGAAUGAAUCUGUCAGUGCAGCGUCUCCCGGGACUCCCCCGGCCAUCUGCGGGUCAAUGAGAGACAACCGGUAGCAUCUGGCAGCCAUAGUCGCAGGAGGAAAGAGAAAGAGAUGAUAAUGUUCCCAUACAGCAACGUGGAUCUGGCAGGAAGGCUAAUUAAUGCGAUGUGGAAAAAGAAUACACCAAAGUGGCAUAACCUCCACACUGGGAGCUUCACAUCUUCGUCUUGGACUCUGCAUUUUGCUCAGCAGCAUCCUCAGCAUUUGCUCUGCCCGUGGCAUCACCUGUGACAAACUGCUAGAGGCUGCCUGGGAUGUACAGUCGUUAGUAAGACAUUGUGAAGGUAAAAGCUUUGUGAAAGCAUAACUCAGAGCAUAAACUGGUCUGAAGAAUCUUAAUUGUUGUGGAAGAAGCAGAAAGAACCCCAAGUAGAGUUGAGGGUGAGGUUGUGAGUUAGAAAAAACGCUGUAUCUUCUUUUCUUUUAAACUGAAAGAAAUCUGGUGUUUGCAUCUGCACGAGAAGAACUGGAAGCCCAAAGUAACUCAGUGCUGAAUAACCUUCAAAUAACUAUCUUGAGCUGUAAUGGGAUGAUAAUAACGCACUCUGGUCUCACAGGGCAGAGUUAGUGAUUCAGUCGCUGUGUGUUGCAGGUGCCUCGCUGCUCCACCCAGGUAUAAAAGAGGAUGGUGUGGCUCUUCUAGGAGAGGUGAUCCUUCUGAAUUAAAAAGUUUGAAUUCAGAACACCUAAAAGCAGUAGUCAAACUGCAAGAGUUUUCUGUGCAUCUCUUUUAAUGACAGGAAAGCUUUAGGAAGGGGGCAACUUGACCUGCACAGACUUUUUUUUUUCUCUUUAAGUCAGUGGAAAUGAUGGUACCAGAGCAGGGGUAAGAGCUAGUGUGUUGUAUGAUCAUACCCACACACACCCACACUCAACUUCACACAGCUUUUGAAGUCACAAGGAUGUUACGUUUGAUGGGUUCCUGCUGGGGAUGAGGGUGUAGAGGGAUGGCUUCAGGCUGCCAAGUCAUACAACUCUACUUGGUUGGCUUCAUGUCAAGGAACAGGAAUGAGUGAGUGAACUCACUGGGCCACUACAUUGUAUAGAGCAGCCAAACUAGCUCCUUGGUUUGCUCCACUGAAAAUAAUUAAGAGGAACAACUUUUAUAGUUUCAUAAAAACAAUCUGACUUGCUGACACAAGAACAUACAAUUUGUCUCUUACUUCCCAAACUAAUCAUCUUUCCUAAACAAGAUGCUAUAUUUGUUGCCUGCCAUUUUGUCUGGUCGUUAGUAAAUGGUUAGUUUACACAGAUGGAUGGGUUUACUGUCCUGGCUAGAAAAUUAAGUAAUAGUGACAGCAAUGUUGUUAUACUUCUGUGGUAAUGGACGAGUAUUGCAAGUAACCCCACACAGACAAGACUGAGAAGAAGGAACAACUUGGCAUAAAAAACUUGGCCCUCCAUCUGGGUGUGUCAUUUCCUUUGGAUUGGAAGUUUUCCCCAUCUUAUAUUUUGAGAGAUAAAAUAUUCAUCUGACUUUCUUCAGAACAUGUAUUAGUUUCUUCUGGCAACUGUGGGAACACAUCCCCUAUUUAAUUGAGUUACUGGAUUUGUUUGGAGAUUCAAAAAUGAGCACAAACUCAUUAAAGGAAUAGGGGCAAGUCCUUGAACUCUGUCUCCAAUAGUGAGAAUUUAUUUUAGGUAGUGUAAGAAAGUAACCUACAGUCUGGAAUCAUAUCCCAACUAUUUCAGACUGCUGGAGAAUUCAGAAAAAAACCCUUGUGUAAUAGCCUUUUGUGCUGUGUUUUCAUUAAGUCUGAGGCAGCUCAAUAAAGAAGCUACAGCAUGAUUUAUUUAAAUCAGUGAUUACAGAGAAGUCAUUAAAAGAAAAACUUGGCAAAAUCUUGCCUACAUACUUCUUGCAUUCCAAAUCCAUAAAAUGUUUAGAUACAAUCUCAUUUCAUUAUAACCAAAACAAAUCUCCUUUACUAGAUUUCUUUCAUUUUUUUCUUUAAAUGAUGAUGUUUCCAUACCUCUUCUGUCUCCCCUGACUUUCCAGUUCAGCUUCCUUUGUGUGUCUUUUCUUUAUAAAGUCACUAAGAGUAGGCAGGUUGCUCUCAGGAAUCCUAUCAUCCCAUAAGGCUUGGUAAGAGCAUUUGGCAGACUAUGGACUAGAGAUGAAGUAGGGAAAAUAAUUUAGCUCUUUCUGUCAUCUGAAGAUGACUUUUGGAAAUGCUUGCAUGGGAUUAUUCUCCCAGUUCAAAUCUACAAGAAUCUGCAUUUUAUCCUACGUGUUGUACGUACGCUGGAAGUUUUACCAACUUUUCAGCCUGUUAGUUUCAUUUGACAUUUCUUAUUGUUGAGCUAAAAUGUGUAUAUUCAGACAGACACCCAAUCCUUUUUUAAAAUAACUUCUCUUUUUUAAAAAAGGGGUGCCAUGGGGCUAUCAAAUGAUUUAGAUACGGGCAUAGCCACAACGAAAGUGUCCUGUUCUGUUCCUGUAACUUACGGUCUCGAGGCACUGGGAUAAAACAAAUGCCUAUCAAAUUCCAAAGGACAAAUGUUCUCAUCUACAGCAACUGCUGUUUCACAACUGAUGUGGCAUUAACUGUACCUGCUCUUAGCACUGACCAAGGACAAACAAGAUGAUUUAUCUUCAGUUCUUGAAUUAAUUUUUAUUUAUGUAUUUUUGAAGGUGAGCAAGUGGAGGGGAGCAUAUAAAUAAAGAUCACACUGAUUGCCAUAAUUAGUCAAUCAGUAAACCUGUGUCCAGUAAAAACUCUUUUUGAUGGGACAAAAAGGUAAUGAUCUAAGAGUGCUGUAUCAUGGUAUUGACUGGAAAAAAUCAAGCAGUCUUCAGUUCUUUAAGGAGUUCCAGCUUUAAGAGCCCAAAACCCUCUGCUCUUGGUGCAGAGAACAGGGGGUGUAGUAGCAUCACACCACUGAGGUUCCC